This 429-nucleotide ribosomal RNA is filed under the name Pseudomonas aeruginosa. RNAcentral's name for it is "bacterial SSU rRNA". It matches the Rfam family "Bacterial small subunit ribosomal RNA", at positions 138 to 563 of the family's 1533-position model. Lineage: Bacteria; Pseudomonadati; Pseudomonadota; Gammaproteobacteria; Pseudomonadales; Pseudomonadaceae. The record is from RNAcentral.
GGGGGGAAACGUCCGGAACGGGCGCUAAUACCGCAUACGUCCUGAGGGAGAAAGUGGGGGAUCUUCGGACCUCACGCUAUCAGAUGAGCCUAGGUCGGAUUAGCUAGUUGGUGGGGUAAAGGCCUACCAAGGCGACGAUCCGUAACUGGUCUGAGAGGAUGAUCAGUCACACUGGAACUGAGACACGGUCCAGACUCCUACGGGAGGCAGCAGUGGGGAAUAUUGGACAAUGGGCGAAAGCCUGAUCCAGCCAUGCCGCGUGUGUGAAGAAGGUCUUCGGAUUGUAAAGCACUUUAAGUUGGGAGGAAGGGCAGUAAGUUAAUACCUUGCUGUUUUGACGUUACCAACAGAAUAAACACCGGCUAACUUCGUGCCAACAGCGGCGGGAAUACGAAAGGUGUAAGCGUUUAUCGCAAUUACUGGGCGUAA